AAGUCAGCAUGGCCUUUAUAUCCCUGGGCUACGACACACGCUACAAUGGGAAGGGACAAUAGGUUGCGAAGCCGCGAGGCGGAGCCAAUCCAGCAAAACUUCCCUCAGUUCAGAUUGCAGGCUGCAACUCGCCUGCAUGAAGUUGGAGUUGCUAGUAAUCGCGUAUCAGCGCGACGCGGUGAAUACGGUUCCCGGGCCUU
This 200-nucleotide ribosomal RNA is filed under the name uncultured Anaerolineaceae bacterium. RNAcentral describes it as "partial 16S ribosomal RNA". It matches the Rfam family "Bacterial small subunit ribosomal RNA", at positions 1187 to 1382 of the family's 1533-position model. The record is from RNAcentral. Lineage: Bacteria; Bacillati; Chloroflexota; Anaerolineae; Anaerolineales; Anaerolineaceae.